CAGUUACAUGUUGGAGAUGGGGAUUUCUGGAUUGGACUCUAUCGCAGCCUCCAGCAUCCAAGGAGAGGCAGCACAACCUCCACUUGCCCCUCACAGUAUUAUUGGCUGGAUGGAAGCAAGACAAAGUACAGGUUUUUUCUUUUGGCAUUUUAUACAGCAAUACUUUGUAUGGAGUGAGUUGAAGCAAAUAAUUUGAGAAGAAAGUAAUAAACUGUAACUUAGGUAAGCAGCUAAGGUGGAUGUGACCUACGCUUACAUCAUGAAUCCUGUUUGCAUCUAGGAACUGGCACUGGGAUGAGCCUUCAUGUGGCAAAGAAAGGUGCGUGGUUUUGUAUUACCAGCGCUCUCGACCAUUUGAAGACAGCCGUUUCCCUUUCCAGUGGAUGGAUGACAACUGUAGCUCCAAGAACAACUUUAUCUGCAAAUACCAGGAAGAAAAACUGCCUCUAUUUACAGCUCCAUCUCCUAAGCCAAAUGUAGUGCCAACAACAGAGGAAGAUGAAAACAUGAGGAUAGUGCACGGAUCAUCAGGUAAGAGCUUAAAAGACCACAUCGAACUCUUUGGGAGGCUAUAUGUAUUGUGUGUGGGUUUUUUUUAAGAUUUUGUUUUGCAGUCGUGUUUAAAUAUACCUAAGACCAAUAACAUGUCUUUUGUGGCAGUAUCUUUUUCAGACAACUCUCUUAAUGUUUCCUACAUCCUCUGUGCUACCAUCCCUGCUCUCCUGCUGCUGCUGUUUGCAGUCACUGGACUCCUCUGCUACAAACAACAUGGGAAAAGGAGGAAGACAGAGACAAAAAGCUUUUCUGGCAGAUCAAAGCACGGAACAACAACAAUAGCUUCGCCUUGCCCCGUUCAAGGACCUUACGCCUUCAGUGAUAUCACUAGACUACCCCACUCUGUCCUGGACGGCAGGAUGACAGCUAAAAGGACUGAGUAUUCUUGUUCUCCUUCACUUAAUUCCUUAUGUGACGAUUAUGAGAAUGUAACAAGUGUGGACAGGGAAAGCGGCUUCGUGUCCAAUGACAUUUAUGAGAGCUGCAGGGCUCAAAGCCAGCAGUGCCACAGCCAGACUGGAUGGGUGGAAAACGAGAUCUAUGGAUGAUUCCACCUAUACUCAUUGCUGAUGAUGUUCCAAUGGAUUCCUGGAAAGAACUCAGACUGUUCCUGCUCCUGUUCUUGCUGCACAUCCAGCUGGACACCUGGAGGUGGAGAAAUAACACAUGUUCAUCUGGAUUUAAAUAGACUGUGGUUUACCAGGCAGAAACAUGCUAACCAGCUGUACGUGAGCUGUAACAUCUUUGUCUGCUGAGACUCAAUAUUUAGGUCCUAAAAAUGAUUAUUUUUUGGCGGUCAUAAUAAUAAAAGGUAUUAUUAAGACAAACAAAGCCUUUACUUUUGUUAAUUUCACUCUGAUAAGCAUCAGGCGUCUAUAAAUUGUAAAGAUUUGUGGAUUCGUGUGUGAAUAGGUUAAAGUUGCAAGCAUGUUUCAAAUAAUCAUACAGAAUAAUGUGAUUUGGUAUUAGUAAUACAAGUCCUGUUCCAAUCUAGACAUGUUUUGUUUUUACCCAAGGGUUUAUAAUCUGUCAAUAAAGCUUUGUGCUACAAACUAUAUUCUUGUCUUUUCUUUAAUUUAAUCCAGCAUUAGCUGUGUUUUGUUUCUG
Long non-coding RNA from Oryzias sinensis (Chinese medaka), 1662 nucleotides. Lineage: Eukaryota; Metazoa; Chordata; Actinopteri; Beloniformes; Adrianichthyidae. The record is from Ensembl.